Molecule: ribosomal RNA, 456 nt
Filed under: Selenomonas sp. oral taxon E83
Lineage: Bacteria; Bacillati; Bacillota; Negativicutes; Selenomonadales; Selenomonadaceae
Description: bacterial SSU rRNA
Rfam family: Bacterial small subunit ribosomal RNA
Source: RNAcentral
GACGAACGCUGGCGGCGUGCUUAACACAUGCAAGUCGAACGGAGCGAAUGAAAGCUUGCUUUUAUGAGCUUAGUGGGCAAACGGGUGAGUAACACGUAGACAACCUGCCGAUAGGAUGGGGACAACAUUCCGAAAGGAAUGCUAAUACCGAAUGGCGUGUAGGGGAGGCAUCUCCCGUACAUGAAAGAUGGCCUCUGAAUAUGCUAUCACCUAUCGAUGGGUCUGCGUCUGAUUAGCUAGUAGGUAAGGUAACGGCUUACCUAGGCGACGAUCAGUAGCCGGUCUGAGAGGAUGAACGGCCACAUUGGGACUGAGACACGGCCCAGACUCCUACGGGAGGCAGCAGUGGGGAAUCUUCCGCAAUGGGCGCAAGCCUGACGGAGCAACGCCGCGUGAGUGAAGAAGGUCUUCGGAUCGUAAAGCUCUGUUGAAGGGGACGAACGUAUAUAGUGCGAA